UGGAAGUUGGACGAUCAUAUCCAAGCUAAUAUGAUCUGAACAUAGGUGUGGUUCCUGCUCUCCUGGUCUGUUUUCUGAUUCCAGGGUUCCUAAUUUUUUUGAAUUGCAAUCCAUAUUGUUCCUCAGGGUUCCUGAUCCUUAGGAACUGGAAGUGAACUCCUUCUCAGGGCUCUUGUUUCCUUGGAAUAAGAAGGGGGUACUGUUCUUUACAGUCCCUUUUUCCUUGGUACCAUAAAUGUUACUUUUCCUCAGGGUUCUGAAACUUGUGAUUGAAAGUGAUACUGAUCCUCAGGGGUCUUUUAGAAAGACAAGAGAAGGGAAGGAACAAGCACUAAGUUCCUACUAUGUUUCGGGUCUUGUGCUAAGUGCUUUAUAGAUAUCUCAUUUGAUUAGGUAUUUUCUAAAGAGCUUCCACCCUAGGAUUCAGUAAAGUUGAUUAAUGACUGAGUGACCAGUAGACCCCUUAACCUACUAUAUGUCAACUGUUCAUCUUACACAUCAGCUUGUGUUUCAGUUUUAUAUUCUUUCCAGUAUUCCACCCAAUCUACCUUAUGUGAAUGAGAAAGUUGGAGAAAACCUGCAAGAGAGCCUAAGGAGUAAGAUUUGCAAAAGCUGUCAAUCAAGAAGCAUUCUGGAAUGGAAUGGCAAUGGGGGGGGAGAGACUGUUGAUAGGAACAGCCAAACUGUGAGAAGUGGUCUCUUGCUCUUGAGACAGGAAGGAUCUUGAAGAGAGAAGAAAACCAGAUGUGUAUCAAUUAAGGAACAAUGGCAGAUUGCAUAUAGAUGAGGGCUCACUUGCCUGGCAUACAGGCUGUAAGUGUUAUAGUCUCUAGGAGGGGUAGACAUCACUGGUGGGUAAAGGAAUAAGUGAAUGCUUCUUGGAAGAAGUUCAUUAUGUCAGAUACCAGAGAAAAGCCCUCAAGUUCUCAUGCUUUAUCAAUGAAUUUUGUGGGGAAGAGUAAUUUUCUUCUGGGGACAUGUCCAUAUAAAACUCCACAUGAGAGUAAAACAAAAGACUAAGCUAGGUGCCUCUCAGGGUUUUUUCCUGUUUUUGUCUUUUCUUUCCUUCCUUUUGAUCUUUUCCCCCUUUUUUCUUUUUUGUCUUUUCCCUCCUUCCUUUUGAUCUUUCUCCCCUUUUUUUCUUUCUGAUUCUCUUUUUCUUUUUCCUUUUCUACUUUCUCCUUUUCCUUCCUCUGGCACUUUGCCUUCUUUUUAUUCCAUAUACUCUUCUUCCUCUUCCACCUUAUCCAUUCUCUGUCUCUUGCCUUAAUUUUUACUAUUAUUACUAUUAUUUUUGUUGUUAUAAGUUCUGGACCUCUACAUUUAGCAACGUAAGGAGCUCUCUUCAUUUGUAAAGGUAGACCAUUUGUUGGUAUUUUACAGUUUCAGAGCUUCUUGGGCACACUGAAUGGUUAAAUGACUUGUCUAGUUUUGUUUCACAUAAUGUAAUCAAAUGAAGGACUUGAACUCAAUUCUUUAAGAUUUUAUCCUUUAUCCACUAUACAAUGCCUCCUCUCUAUUAAUAAUAGUUAAUAACAAUGAAUGUAAUUAAUUCUUCAGGAUACACUAGGGUACUAUUGGUGGAAAAGAAAAUUGGUCCAACCAUCCUGGAAAACAAUUUGGUAUUAUUUUUUUAAAAAGUGUUCAUAAUCUAAUUGUUCCAGAGAUUUCACUGCUAAGGAUAUGUCCCAAGGAACUCAGUGAUAAAAAGAAAGUCAUCACAUAUAAUGUUAUAUUUAUAACAUCAAUUUUUGUAGUAUGAAAGAACUAGAAAUUAAGUAAAUACCCAUUUAUUAGAGAAUGGAUAAACAUGUUGUGAUAGGUGAAUAUAGUAAAAUAGUUUUGUGCUAUAGGAACUGUGAAUAUGGGAAAUACAGAGAAGCUUAGGAAGACUUCUAUGAUCUUAUGCAAAGUGUAGUAAUCAUAACCAUGAAAACCAUAUAUAUGCAUAUAUACAUAUAUGUGUAUAUAUUUAUGUAUAUGAUGGCCUACAACAGUUUAUAUUGAAAGAACAACAGCAAAGCAAUUGAAAUUUAAUGUUGUAAAGUUAUGACUGAUUUUGACAUGAAAGAAGAGAAAUGAGACAAUAUCUUCCCCACUUUUCACAUAUAAUGUCAGACUUUUUGGUAUGUUUCUUAGUAUUUUUUGAAGCAUUUUUUAUUUCAUUUCUGUUUUUUGUUAUAAUGGAUUAUUCCUUUAUAAGGUGUGAGGAGUGAGAGAUAUAUUAGGAAAUAUAUGUUACAUAAGAAAAGAAAAUGGUGACCAUAAUUUAAGAUAAUUAAUACUUCUUAAUACCUUGAACCACAGCCAAAUCAGUUUCCUUUCAAAACAUCAGGAAUUUAUAAUACUCAAAAGGCUUAGUUCUUAAAAACAUGUUCAAGAUCAAUCCCCACACUAUUCAAAUUAUAUUUUUUAAAAUAUAUUUUACAGAAAGGAAAACUGAGUCACAAGUAGAUUUUUUUUAAAGCUAUCAACUAAAGCCAUUUUCUUUGUCCCUAAGUGCCUCUGUCACAUUUUAGUUCAUUGAAAUUUUAUUGCUUUGAAAAGCAAGCAUCAAAAUUGUAACUACUUAAAAAUAGAAGCAAGUUGCUAGCUUCUUUGGAAUUCAAAUCUAGAAUCCCGUGAUGCUUGACCUAAAAAAGAAAAAAAGUGUAUUGUUUAUUCUUUAAUUAAUAUGAUAGAGUAUACAGCUGUUAGCAGACUGAUUUAAGCUUCCCUUUAAAAGGAAGUAGCAAAUGGGAAAAUUGGUCCUUUGGUAUUUUGCUUCAAAAUUCUUCAUUCCCAAAGGUGUGUAACUUAACCAUUUUCAAUAAUACUAUCCCAAAGUGUCAUAGCAGCAGCCCUUGUAUAAAGAUUAUGGUGUUAUUGUCUCUUGGGGCUCAUUUUAGUUUAGGUUUUUUUUUUCUUUUUUCUCCUAGGGUAGUUAGUCCCAAGGGACAACAACUUAAAUUAAAAUGGAGGAAGUGGUUUCAAUAAAAUGUGUACUAACCAAGAUCUUUAGUGACCU
This 3007-nucleotide long non-coding RNA is filed under the name Monodelphis domestica (gray short-tailed opossum). Its description in RNAcentral is "lncRNA (ENSMODG00000049993.1)". Lineage: Eukaryota; Metazoa; Chordata; Mammalia; Didelphimorphia; Didelphidae. The record is from RNAcentral.